CAUUCACGGAGAGUUUGAUCCUGGCUCAGGACGAACGCUGGCGGCGUGCUUAACACAUGCAAGUCGAACGAUGAAGCCCUUCGGGGUGGAUUAGUGGCGAACGGGUGAGUAACACGUGGGCAAUCUGCCCUGCACUCUGGGACAAGCCCUGGAAACGGGGUCUAAUACCGGAUAUGACCAUCUUGGGCAUCCUUGAUGGUGUAAAGCUCCGG
Molecule: ribosomal RNA, 212 nt
Filed under: Streptomyces sp. SID4946
Lineage: Bacteria; Bacillati; Actinomycetota; Actinomycetes; Kitasatosporales; Streptomycetaceae
Description: partial 16S ribosomal RNA
Rfam family: Bacterial small subunit ribosomal RNA
Source: RNAcentral